Molecule: non-coding RNA, 489 nt
Filed under: Thermobrachium celere DSM 8682
Lineage: Bacteria; Bacillati; Bacillota; Clostridia; Eubacteriales; Clostridiaceae
Description: Bacterial small subunit ribosomal RNA
Rfam family: Bacterial small subunit ribosomal RNA
Source: Rfam by way of RNAcentral
AUGGUUGUCGUCAGCUCGUGUCGUGAGAUGUUGGGUUAAGUCCCGCAACGAGCGCAACCCUUGCCUUUAGUUGCCAGCACUUCGGGUAGGCACUCUAAAGGGACUGCCUGGGUUAACCAGGAGGAAGGUGGGGAUGACGUCAAAUCAUCAUGCCCCUUAUGCUCUGGGCUACACACGUGCUACAAUGGCCGGUACAAUGAGUUGCAAACCCGUGAGGGGGAGCUAAUCUCAAAAACCGGUCCCAGUUCGGAUUGUAGGCUGCAACUCGCCUACAUGAAGCCGGAGUUGCUAGUAAUCGCGGAUCAGCAUGCCGCGGUGAAUACGUUCCCGGGCCUUGUACACACCGCCCGUCACACCAUGAGAGCCGGCAACACCCGAAGCCAGUGGGCUAACCCGCAAGGGAGGCAGCUGUCGAAGGUGGGGCUGGUGAUUGGGGUGAAGUCGUAACAAGGUAGCCGUAGGAGAACCUGCGGCUGGAUCACCUCCUUU